This 333-nucleotide ribosomal RNA is filed under the name Triticum aestivum (bread wheat). RNAcentral describes it as "partial small subunit ribosomal RNA". Lineage: Eukaryota; Viridiplantae; Streptophyta; Magnoliopsida; Poales; Poaceae. The record is from RNAcentral.
AUGUGGGCUGGGGAACUCUGGGUGAGUACCUACUGGUAUGUAUGUACGUACAUAACUUACAAAGACUACAAUAACAAUGUGAAUUGUGGAAGUUUGGUAUUGCUCAUAGUGAUACACACACCAUUUUCUUUAGUGAUAUAUACAUCCUUUAUCAAUUCUAUAAUCGUUCCUGGUAUAUCAAAGUGGAAUUUUUCUUUUUCGAGAUUGAAGUGCAGAGAAACUGUGUCUCGCCUUUCUUUUUUCUUUCUUACUCUGAUAUUUCUCUUCCCUGCUUUUCUUCGCUCUGAUGAGAACUCCCUCCCAUCUUCCACAUCAAAGAGCAGCAAGCGAUGA